UACAGAGGGGGCAAGCGUUGUUCGGAAUUACUGGGCGUAAAGGGCGCGUAGGCGGCCUUCUAAGUCGAACGUGAAAUCCCCGGGCUCAACCCGGGAACUGCGUCCGAUACUGGAAGGCUUGAAUCCGGGAGAGGGAUGCGGAAUUCCAGGUGUAGCGGUGAAAUGCGUAGAUAUCUGGAGGAACACCUGUGGCGAAAGCGGCGCACUGGACCACAACUGACGCUGAGGCGCGAAAGCUAGGGGAGCAAACAGG
Molecule: ribosomal RNA, 253 nt
Filed under: uncultured bacterium
Lineage: Bacteria
Description: partial 16S ribosomal RNA
Rfam family: Bacterial small subunit ribosomal RNA
Source: RNAcentral